Long non-coding RNA from Daktulosphaira vitifoliae (grape phylloxera), 1002 nucleotides. RefSeq lists it as uncharacterized. The transcript has 3 exons. Lineage: Eukaryota; Metazoa; Arthropoda; Insecta; Hemiptera; Phylloxeridae. The record is from RefSeq and is a predicted model, not a curated record.
CUUUUUGAACGCCAAAAGUUAAUUAGAAAUGAUUACUAUGAUUUUUAUUUAAGUGAUCUAUUACGAUAAAAAUGUAAAAAAAAUCGAACUUUACUGAUAAAUGUACUGUAAAUAGUAAUUAUAAAAUUUCCUGAUUGCAUAUUAAUCUUAACAAUUUCAUUUUUUUCUAUUUAAUAAUGUCAAUUUCAAACUUGCAAGUUGAGCUAGAAGUUAUGGAAGGCAGAAUAGUGUAAUCAUAUACAGGUCGCAUCUUUAAUUACUACAACGGGUAGACAGGUUGAAUUCAUAAAAGUAAAUAAAUAGGGGAGAUCGAUAUGCCAAACUAAGUUUUAAUCGAAUAAUUUACAGGAAAAUUAAAUUUAUUAUUAUCCAAACCUUAUAUUAUUAGAUUUGUAGUCUCAGCGAAAAACAAAUUAUGGAUUAUGAUAAAUUAUUAUUUAAGACUUAUGACUUUGAGACUCUAAAUAAAAGUUUAAUGGAAAAAUAUGGUGUGAAAGAAACGUUUACAAAUUAUCUACAUUUUGGUAAUCACUUUAAAAAUUACUUAUAGUUUUGAUGUUUACGCUAUCAUAAGAAUAGGCAUUUAAACGUGUGUAUUUUAAAACUACAAUAACUUUUAAAUCACUGAUCCUCAUGAAAUUAUAGUAGAUUAUACCCAAAAUAUAAACUUUCUUUGGUUAUACUUUUUGCGAAAAUCUGAUAAAAAACCUGAGUACAGGGUGGGUUUGAAAAAGAAUACACACGCAUGUAAAUUUAUAUCUUUGUUGAAAACUUCUUUUUAAACCUAUAUCAAAUUUAAAAUUUUUGAGACUAAUUUACUAUAAAAAACCCAGCACAGGGGGGUCGCGGCACAGUGGUGACGUGGCAUAGUUGGAUCAAGUAUAAUGAUAUCUGACAGUGAUUAAAAUCACUAUCAAAAAUAAACGCUUCGAUGCAAAUCUUUAGAUAGUGUUUAAUUUUAAAAAAAUUGGUGUUUUAUUCCAAAAGCUACUUGAUCUGCUG